GAUGAACGCUGGCGGCGUGCCUAAUACAUGCAAGUCGAGCGAACGGACGAGAAGCUUGCUUCUCUGAUGUUAGCGACGGACGGGUGAGUAACACGUGGAUAACCUACCUAUAAGACUGGGAUAACUUCGGGAAACCGGAGCUAAUACCGGAUAAUAUUUUGAACCGCAUGGUUCAAAAGUGAAAGACGGUCUUGCUGUCACUUAUAGAUGGAUCCGCGCUGCAUUAGCUAGUUGGUAAGGUAACGGCUUACCAAGGCAACGAUGCAUAGCCGACCUGAGAGGGUGAUCGGCCACACUGGAACUGAGACACGGUCCAGACUCCUACGGGAGGCAGCAGUAUGGAAUCUUCCGCAAUGGGCGAAAGCCUGACGGAGCAACGCCGCGUGAGUGAUGAAGGUCUUCGGAUCGUAAAACUCUGUUAUUAGGGAAGAACAUAUGUGUAAGUAACUGUGCACAUCUUGACGGUACCUAAUCAGAAAGCCACGGCUAACUACGUG
Molecule: ribosomal RNA, 497 nt
Filed under: uncultured bacterium
Lineage: Bacteria
Description: partial 16S ribosomal RNA
Rfam family: Bacterial small subunit ribosomal RNA
Source: RNAcentral